RNAcentral lists this ribosomal RNA (508 nucleotides) under uncultured bacterium. Its description in RNAcentral is "partial 16S ribosomal RNA". It matches the Rfam family "Bacterial small subunit ribosomal RNA", at positions 29 to 523 of the family's 1533-position model. The record is from RNAcentral.
AUUGAACGCUGGCGGCAUGCCUAACACAUGCAAGUCGAACGGCAGCAUGGUCUGUAGCAAUACAGGCUGAUGGCGAGUGGCGAACGGGUGAGUAAUACAUCGGAACGUGCCCGAUCGUGGGGGAUAACGGAGCGAAAGCUUUGCUAAUACCGCAUACGAACUACGGAUGAAAGCAGGGGACCGCAAGGCCUUGCGCGGACGGAGCGGCCGAUGGCAGAUUAGGUAGGUGGUGGGAUAAAAGCUUACCAAGCCGACGAGCUGUAGCUGGUCUGAGAGGACGACCAGCCACACUGGGACUGAGACACGGCCCAGACUCCUACGGGAGGCAGCAGUGGGGAAUUCUGGACAAUGGGCGCAAGCCUGAUCCAGCCAUGCCGCGUGCAGGAUGAAGGCCUUCGGGUUGUAAACUGCUUUUGUACGGAACGAAACGGCUCUUUCUAAUAAAGAGGGCUAAUGACGGUACCGUAAGAAUAAGCACCGGCUAACUACGUGCCAGCCGCCGCCGUAA